This 999-nucleotide ribosomal RNA is filed under the name Triticum aestivum (bread wheat). Its description in RNAcentral is "partial small subunit ribosomal RNA". The record is from RNAcentral. Lineage: Eukaryota; Viridiplantae; Streptophyta; Magnoliopsida; Poales; Poaceae.
AUGUCACCUGCAUAUCAAGUGGAUGAAGAUCCGACUGUCAAUAAUCAAGAUGGCAGUGAUAGUAGUCCUGAUGAGAUUCAGAAAAAAGGAAAAGGCAAGAACUGGAGUAAGCGUGAGGAUGAACUUCUCAUAGCAGCUUGGGUGCACAAUUCAUGUGAUCCGAUUGAUGGAAACUCCAAAAGGGCAGAGACCUAUUGGAAGGAAGUCGCAGCAGAGUACAACAAAUAUGCAACGAAAGAGCAGAAGAAAACAGUUGGGCAAUGCAAGAACCACUGGACCAAGACCACAAAGAAGGUUACAAAGUUCAAUGGUAUCUACAAUGUUGAAAAAAGUACAUGGCCUAGUGGGAGCGAUGACAAGCAACUUAUGGAGAGGGUACGUGCCAAAUACAUGAGUGUUGCCAAGACAAAAAGACCCUUUCCAUAUGAGCACUGGUGGGAGUACGUGAGGAAAGAGGCUAAAUGGAGAAGGUCUUAUUCAGUUGAAGAGAUGAACAAAAGAAACAAGUUGAAUGCAUCAGGAGCUUAUAGUUCUCCAACCCAGGCAAUAGAUGAGGAAGGUGAACUUCAACGGCCCCCGAGACGCAACACUUCAAAAGACGCAAAAGAUAAACAGAAGUCAUCAAGCAAGUCUAAAUGCUCUGGAAGCUUGACAAGUGAGAGUGUGGACAAAUUUAAUGAGAUUCAACUAAGAAAAUCAAUUGCUGCAGAGAAAAUGGCCGACGCCACCCUUAUUCAAGCACAAGCCACAAAAGUUCAAGCAGAAGCUGAGAAAGAAAGAGUUGAAACUGAGAAGGAGAAGAUAAAGGUGGACAAACUGAGCAAAUACCUUGAUCUUCUUCACAAAGAUACUUCAGCUUAUGAUGAUGCCCAAAAGAAAAGACAUGAACAAGUUCACUUUGAAGUCAAUCACAAUAAGUAUAACUUGGGAUACUACCUAGUAGAUGGCAUUUAUCCGGAAUGGGCGACAUUUGUGAAAUCAUCUAUAAGUUCUACAUGA